This 1213-nucleotide long non-coding RNA is filed under the name Zea mays. RNAcentral's name for it is "long non-coding RNA (ZMAY_LNC000389)". Lineage: Eukaryota; Viridiplantae; Streptophyta; Magnoliopsida; Poales; Poaceae. The record is from RNAcentral.
GUCAUAAAACAUCAGAGUAUUUAUUACAUAGCGGAAGACUUAUUACAAAAUAAAAGAAUAAAUAUAAAACGAACUAAGGAUCGUUGGCGCCAAUGUCGACUGAGAAACGCCACCUAGAUCAGAUCAAACUCCUCGCCUUGUAGCUCCUCCUGAACCACCUGCUCUUCUCCUGUGGGGGGGGUGUGAGACAGCAAGAGUGAGCUCACAUACGUUCAUCGCUCAACAAGUCGUGGGGAAUAAUGUGGCAUGAACUCACCAAAGGUGGGAGUUCAUGAAGUGUAAGGCUGAUCAAUGAAAUAGAGGCUGAAGCUGAGCAUUGCUUUUAUAAGUUGGUCAAAAUUUUAUUAGCAAUUACUAAGUGUAAGUAAAUACCAAACCUUAAUAAUAAUAAAUAAAGUAAUAGUAAAAUAAUCCCAAAUGCGAUGCAAAUGUCAAAUUGAAUUUAAGUUCCAUAAUUAAUCAUGUGAGGGUCCGAGCCGCUCAUGACCGUGAGCACGGCUAGUAUACCAGUUUUACACUCUGCAGAGGUUGCGCAUCUUUACCCACAAGUCAUGUUACCCAUCUGCCAAGAGAUGGCCAAUCCCAUACACCUCUACCGAGGAGGCGAGGCAGGGUAACACUACGAGGCCUUUACAAAGUUCCACUAGCUUCAGAAAUCCCGCUACAGUUUAUAGGAAGCUCCAAUACAGGGUUCUUGCCUGACCGCCAUCGCAGCAAAAUCAACCCAAGGACCUCCCUACACUGACCACUCCCCUACUGCCCUUGCCCCUUUCGGGUAAGGAAGACCUCCACUAGCUUUCCUAGUUAAUCAGCCAAGGGCGUCCCAUUAUACCCUUGUGGUAGCACUGUUUUCCCGGGUGGUCGCUCCAUGUUCCCAUUAAUUUAAUGAUCUUAACAUGAACAGUAAUAAUAACAAGAUAAUAACAGGAUAAUCAUGUGUAGUAUAACUCCAUACCCAAUCCACAUAAAGCAAUAGCAAGUACUACCCAAAAAUAUUUCAGGGGUGAACAAGGUAUAGAGGUAAUCAAAACUGGGGUAACAUAAAGGAUCCCAUCAAAAUUAACCUAUGCAGAUCAUUAAAAUUAAUAAGAACAUGGCUGGGAAAAGUAAGUGAUCAAGGGCACAACUUGCCUUCAAUGAGCUCCUGCUCAGCUAUCUCUACUUGCUGAACCUCAGAUUCCACAGUGGCUUGCUCGUCUACUCUCGCAUCAAC